UACGUAGGGGGCAAGCGUUGUCCGGAUUUAUUGGGUUUAAAGGGUGCGUAGGCGGCCCUGUAAGUCAGUGCUGAAAUACCCCGGCUUAACCGGGGGGGUGGCAUUGAUACUGCAGGGCUUGAGUACAGAUGAGGUAGGCGGAAUUGACGGUGUAGCGGUGAAAUGCAUAGAUAUCGUCAAGAACACCGAUAGCGAAGGCAGCUUACUGGGCUGUAACUGACGCUGAUGCACGAAAGUGUGGGGAUCAAACAGG
Molecule: ribosomal RNA, 253 nt
Filed under: uncultured bacterium
Lineage: Bacteria
Description: partial 16S ribosomal RNA
Rfam family: Bacterial small subunit ribosomal RNA
Source: RNAcentral